AGCGAACGCUGGCGGCAGGCCUAACACAUGCAAGUCGAACGCCCCUUCGGGGGAGUGGCGGACGGGUGAGUAACGCGUGGGAAUGUGCCCUUUGGUACGGAACAACUGAGGGAAACUUCAGCUAAUACCGUAUGUGCCCUACGGGGGAAAGAUUUAUCGCCAUUGGAGCAGCCCGCGUUGGAUUAGGUAGUUGGUGGGGUAAUGGCCCACCAAGCCGACGAUCCAUAGCUGGUCUGAGAGGAUGAUCAGCCACACUGGGACUGAGACACGGCCCAGACUCCUACGGGAGGCAGCAGUGGGGAAUCUUGCGCAAUGGGCGAAAGCCUGACGCAGCCAUGCCGCGUGAAUGAUGUAGGUCUUAGGAUUGUAAAAUUCUUUCACCGGGGAAGAUAAUGACGGUACCCGGAGAAGAAGCCCCGGCUAACUUCGU
This 430-nucleotide ribosomal RNA is filed under the name uncultured bacterium. RNAcentral's name for it is "partial 16S ribosomal RNA". It matches the Rfam family "Bacterial small subunit ribosomal RNA", at positions 29 to 506 of the family's 1533-position model. The record is from RNAcentral.